This 508-nucleotide ribosomal RNA is filed under the name Bacillus sp. (in: firmicutes). RNAcentral describes it as "bacterial SSU rRNA". It matches the Rfam family "Bacterial small subunit ribosomal RNA", at positions 23 to 511 of the family's 1533-position model. The record is from RNAcentral. Lineage: Bacteria; Bacillati; Bacillota; Bacilli; Caryophanales; Bacillaceae.
CUCAGGAUGAACGCUGGCGGCGUGCCUAAUACAUGCAAGUCGAGCGAACNNNUUAAGAGCUUGCUCUUAAGAAGUUAGCGGCGGACGGGUGAGUAACACGUGGGUAACCUGCCUAUAAGACUGGGAUAACUCCGGGAAACCGGGGCUAAUACCGGAUAACAUUUUGCACCGCAUGGUGCGAAAUUGAAAGGCGGCUUCGGCUGUCACUUAUAGAUGGACCUGCGGCGCAUUAGCUAGUUGGUGAGGUAACGGCUCACCAAGGCGACGAUGCGUAGCCGACCUGAGAGGGUGAUCGGCCACACUGGGACUGAGACACGGCCCAGACUCCUACGGGAGGCAGCAGUAGGGAAUCUUCCGCAAUGGACGAAAGUCUGACGGAGCAACGCCGCGUGAGCGAUGAAGGCCUUCGGGUCGUAAAGCUCUGUUGUUAGGGAAGAACAAGUGUGAGUUGAAUAAGCUCAUGCCUUGACGGUACCUAACCAGAAAGCCACGGCUAACUACGUGCCAG